Molecule: ribosomal RNA, 497 nt
Filed under: uncultured bacterium
Lineage: Bacteria
Description: partial 16S ribosomal RNA
Rfam family: Bacterial small subunit ribosomal RNA
Source: RNAcentral
GAUGAACGCUGGCGGCGUGCCUAAUACAUGCAAGUCGAGCGAACAGACGAGGAGCUUGCUCCUCUGACGUUAGCGGCGGACGGGUGAGUAACCCGUGGAUACCCUACCUAUAAGACUGGGAUAACUUCGGGAAACCGGAGCUAAUACCGGAUAAUAUAUUGAACCGCAUGGUUCAAUAGUGAAAGACGGUUUUGCUGUCACUUAUAGAUGGAUCCGCGCCGCAUUAGCUAGUUGGUAAGGUAACGGCUUACCAAGGCAACGAUGCGUAUCCGACCUUGGAGGGGGAUCGGCCACACUGGAACUGAGACACGGUCCAGACUCCGACGGGAGGCAGCAGUAGGGAAUCUUCCGCAAUGGGCGAAAGCCUGACGGAGCAACGCCACGUGAGUGAUGAAGGUCUUCGGAUCGUAAAACUCUGUUAUUAGGGAAGAACAAAUGUGUAAGUAACUAUGCACGUCUUGACGGUACCUAAUCAGAAAGCCACGGCUAACUACGUG